GACGAACGCUGGCGGCGUGCCUAAUACAUGCCAGUAGAACGCACAGAUUAUACCGUAGCUUGCUACACCAUAGACUGUGAGUUGCGAACGGGUGAGUAACGAGUAGGUAACCUGCCUGGUAGCGGGGGAUAACUAUUGGAAACGAUAGCUAAUACCGCAUAAUAUUGAUUAUUGCAUGAUAAUUGAUUGAAAGAUGCUAUUGCAUCACUACCAGAUGGACCUGCGUUGUAUUAGCUAGUAGGUGAGGUAACGGCUCACCUAGGCGACGAUACAUAGCCGACCUGAGAGGGUGAUCGGCCACACUGGGACUGAGACACGGCCCAGACUCCUACGGGAGGCAGCAGUAGGGAAUCUUCGGCAAUGGACGAAAGUCUGACCGAGCAACGCCGCGUGAGUGAAGAAGGUUUUCGGAUCGUAAAGCUCUGUUGUAAGAGAAGAACGGGUGUGAGAGUGGAAAGUUCACACUGUGACGGUAUCUUACCAGAAAGGGACGGCUAACUACGUG
This 505-nucleotide ribosomal RNA is filed under the name uncultured bacterium. RNAcentral's name for it is "partial 16S ribosomal RNA". It matches the Rfam family "Bacterial small subunit ribosomal RNA", at positions 28 to 507 of the family's 1533-position model. The record is from RNAcentral.